This 177-nucleotide ribosomal RNA is filed under the name uncultured Gammaproteobacteria bacterium. RNAcentral's name for it is "partial 16S ribosomal RNA". It matches the Rfam family "Bacterial small subunit ribosomal RNA", at positions 335 to 504 of the family's 1533-position model. The record is from RNAcentral. Lineage: Bacteria; Pseudomonadati; Pseudomonadota; Gammaproteobacteria.
ACUCCUACGGGAGGCAGCAGUGGGGAAUAUUGNACAAUGGGCGCAAGCCUGAUCCAGCCAUGCCGCGUGUGUGAAGAAGGCUUUCGGGUUGUAAAGCACUUUCAGCGAGGAGGAAGGCCUUAAGNUUAAUACUCUUNAGGAUUGACGNCACUCGCAGAAGAAGCACCGGCUAACUCC